UCCUUCGCCAGCUGGGAACGAAAAACCACAAAGUUCUCAUUUGAAUUCUUCUUGUUACAAAGAGGGGCAGUGCAGAAAAAUAUAUAGAUUGUUCUGUGGUAGCAUGUUUCUUUAAUAACUCUGGUUCCUGCUUCAUCAUCAUCAUCAGGAGCAUAGACUUGGGCCAAAAAUGUAACAGGUUUUUGACAGCACCUUUAAAAGAUUAAUAUUUUAGCACUACACAUAAAAAUUAUGUUGAUUCUGUAUGUGACUUUGAGUGUUAUGUCUGGGAAUAUUAUAUGUAGAAAAAUUAUAAUUUCUAAUAAAAUUUUGCAACACAAACUUGCACAGAAGUUGUUCUGUAGGUGGCAAGUUCUUCAAAUCUAACCAAGCUGGCUUUCCACCAACUUUGCUUGGGAAAAAUCUACUCUCUAAGCGCCAUUUGUCCGUCUUGUCUAGGAACCCUAUUGCAGAAAUCAUGUUAUGUUCAACAAGACGAAAAAAAUAAACUCCAAAUUCAUUCAGCCUUGUCUCACCUAACUCGGCUCCAAACUUUUCGUGCACAAACGGUCCGGCCAUACCUUAAAAUGAUUAAGCGAAUUUCCUAUAGUUAACCCUGUCUUUCUGUUUUAUCUUUGUCGUAGAUGAUCUUGGGGUCUAGUGGACUUCCUACUUUCUGCCACUGAUUUGUGGUUGUUAUUGAUACUGCACUGCACUGGAAACAUUCCUUCUACACGUGGGAUGCGCUUUAAUUCUAGACGAUUGCAAUGAGGGUCAUUUGUUUUCUACUAAAUGGUAUAAUUCGUCGUGUCAACAUGUUAUUAAAACACAAAAAACACAACUUAUCAACUCAUUUUGAGCUUGGAGAUAAGGCAUCGUCAGGUAUCAUCCGAAACGGGCUAUGAAAGGCACAUAUUAAGGACGGAUGGCAGAAGUUGUAAAAAUGUACGAACUUUUCCCCCAUUCCUAACUUAAAAAAACAAAAAACAAAAAAAAAUGCAAGCUAAUAAAAAACAAAAAACAAACAA
Molecule: long non-coding RNA, 1007 nt
Organism: Daphnia magna
Lineage: Eukaryota; Metazoa; Arthropoda; Branchiopoda; Diplostraca; Daphniidae
Exons: 2
Source: RefSeq, a predicted model, not a curated record